ACUUAAAUUGAAGAGUUUGAUCAUGGCUCAGAUUGAACGCUGGCGGCAGGCCUAACACAUGCAAGUCGAGCGGUAGCACAGAGAGCUUGCUCUCGGGUGACGAGCGGCGGACGGGUGAGUAAUGUCUGGGAAACUGCCUGAUGGAGGGGGAUAACUACUGGAAACGGUAGCUAAUACCGCAUAACGUCGCAAGACCAAAGAGGGGGACCUUCGGGCCUCUUGCCAUCAGAUGUGCCCAGAUGGGAUUAGCUAGUAGGUGGGGUAACGGCUCACCUAGGCGACGAUCCCUAGCUGGUCUGAGAGGAUGACCAGCCACACUGGAACUGAGACACGGUCCAGACUCCUACGGGAGGCAGCAGUGGGGAAUAUUGCACAAUGGGCGCAAGCCUGAUGCAGCCAUGCCGCGUGUAUGAAGAAGGCCUUCGGGUUGUAAAGUACUUUCAGCGGGGAGGAAGGCGAUAAGGUUAAUAACCUUGUCGAUUGACGUUACCCGCAGAAGAAGCACCGGCUAACUCCGUGCCAGCAGCCGCGGUAAUACGGAGGGUGCAAGCGUUAAUCGGAAUUACUGGGCGUAAAGCGCACGCAGGCGGUCUGUCAAGUCGGAUGUGAAAUCCCCGGGCUCAACCUGGGAACUGCAUUCGAAACUGGCAGGCUAGAGUCUUGUAGAGGGGGGUAGAAUUCCAGGUGUAGCGGUGAAAUGCGUAGAGAUCUGGAGGAAUACCGGUGGCGAAGGCGGCCCCCUGGACAAAGACUGACGCUCAGGUGCGAAAGCGUGGGGAGCAAACAGGAUUAGAUACCCUGGUAGUCCACGCCGUAAACGAUGUCGACUUGGAGGUUGUGCCCUUGAGGCGUGGCUUCCGGAGCUAACGCGUUAAGUCGACCGCCUGGGGAGUACGGCCGCAAGGUUAAAACUCAAAUGAAUUGACGGGGGCCCGCACAAGCGGUGGAGCAUGUGGUUUAAUUCGAUGCAACGCGAAGAACCUUACCUACUCUUGACAUCCAGAGAACUUUCCAGAGAUGGAUUGGUGCCUUCGGGAACUCUGAGACAGGUGCUGCAUGGCUGUCGUCAGCUCGUGUUGUGAAAUGUUGGGUUAAGUCCCGCAACGAGCGCAACCCUUAUCCUUUGUUGCCAGCGGU
RNAcentral lists this ribosomal RNA (1137 nucleotides) under Enterobacter asburiae. Its description in RNAcentral is "bacterial SSU rRNA". It matches the Rfam family "Bacterial small subunit ribosomal RNA", at positions 1 to 1125 of the family's 1533-position model. Lineage: Bacteria; Pseudomonadati; Pseudomonadota; Gammaproteobacteria; Enterobacterales; Enterobacteriaceae. The record is from RNAcentral.